UAAAAGUCCUACAGCUAAAUAAAUUCUCAUGCCUGCAAAUUGUAUGUGUCUACACCACAUGUAAUGUAUACUUAUUCUCUGCUUCUCUAAUACUUGGCAGUGUGCAGCCGCUGCGCCAUUGGGUCUGAUCACUUCUGAUACUCCAGCUCUCUCCUCCACCUUCUCAAUCCCUUCAAACAAACUUGUUUUAAUGAAAAUACAUUCCUGAGUUUGGCUGAUUUAGCGGAUUUUCCUCCCACCCUCAUGUCUCCUCUCUAAAGGAUUUAGGUGUGUGUUUGUGUGUGUGUCUGUGUGUGUGUUGGGGGUUGCUGAAGCUCCAGCUGUAACAUUGGUGGCAGCAGCCCUUUUUAAGAAGUGCUGAUGCCAGAGCACCAAGUAUUUCUGUGUGCAUUCAAGGAAUGAGGAAUGCUUCUCCAACCAGCUUAGAGAGAGGUGGAAGGAAGGGUAGAGUCAGGGGGUGGUGAGGGAGGGAGGAUGGGGGAAAGGGUAGAUAGAGGCUGUUAGAGAGAAACUAACUGAGGAAAUAAAAGACAAGAGGUGGGAAAGAAGUGGGGGGAAAGGCCAUGCACUGUUUUGCACCUUCACCAUCAAUGCACUGUUUUCCCAUGGUAAGUAAUGGAUACUUCAAAGCCAAAAUAGAAGACCAUUUCAGGACACUGGUAUUGAGCACAGCCUUCACCAGGUUUAUUCUUUCAUCUUCAUGUGGAUUCAGAUCUCUGAUUGUUGCAAGCCUGUAGUGUGGCAGGUCACAUGUUUUGGUCAUGAAAUAUUGGAGGUUCCAUCAGGGGCAGAGAGCUAGGCCGAAAGAAACGGUUCAGAGUAAACGUGAAUUCAUAAAAUGAGUGAAGAGUCCUCCACUUCUCCAGCUGUCCCGUCAUCCUUCAGCGUCCUCAACUCUCCACUUCAGGCAACUCUCUGCCCCAUGGGAGCCCUGGGCACUGCCAGCUGAGCCACCUUGCCGACAGCUUUUUCCCAUGGCUGGCCAUCGACGCAUCGCUUUGUAUCCUGGAACAGACAGGAAGAACACGUCACCCCUGAAGCAGAUCACCUCCAGCAUCUCCGCCUGCCGCGUCCAGCCGCUUCCUCCGUUCUGGUGUCCCCACACUCGGAUCCCUCAGGCUCAUGAUCCCCUGGACCCCUCUGUGAUCUGCCCACUGGAUUUCCCCCCUGAUCCCACUUCCCACUCGGGGUACCUUUGCUAAUUCAACCUGUGACUUUGUGUAAACCAGUAAAAAAAACUCAGCUUGAUCUCCUUUCAAUUUGUUGUCCUCAUUUUGGGUUCAGCUCUGUUUGCUCUAAUGAGCUAGGCUUAACAGAAUAAGCUGUUGUGCUGACAUGUUAGCCAUAUUAGCUAAUUCUAUUCUAUGUUGCCCCCCCUCAAAAAAUCAAUCUCUCUGAUCAAUGUGAUGAUAAACCUGUGAUCAAAUGUAUCAAAUAAUUAGGUUUUGCUGCCAAUAAGACUGGUGUUUUGGGUUGUGGGAAUCAAAUGGAAUAUAUAUUGUGUUGAUAUAAUUAUGCGGAUAUAAAUAUGCAACAUUAUUUAAUGAAAUGAUAGACAUAUAAUUACCACAUGGUCAUAAAGAGUUACUGACAUGAAAGACGAUCAGGACGCAGGCACACAGGCUACACCGCAUGUCCUCGUCAGGCCCAGAGGUAUGACGUCUGCGGCCGAGAGCACGGUACUGGAGAACAUGGUAACAAUGCAGCUCACAGAAUGGUAGCUUGUUCACUGGUGCAGUGUUUGUGAGCACUAUUGUUAUGUUGUGUCGUUAUGAUACUUUUAUUGUUUUUUCUUUAUUACUAUUUCCCAUACAUGGAACAAGACGUGGUUUGCAUAAAAAGGAAAAAGGUCAAACAUUAGGUCUGAAACUAUAGGGUUUAGAGUGUGUGUUUGGCUUGAAAGAAAAGUGAUCAGAAUGAGAGUGAUAAAGGGUACCAGCAAAUCUGUUAGUAUUGCAAAUAACCUAUAAAAAGCCUAUCUACCUUCUGCUGGAGUGUAGUGCUGUCAUGUUCCAGUAUAACUCAUAAUUCCCACUACAUCUACUUUUAAACUUAAUACGUAUGCACCAGUACCUGCAGAGUUAGGAGCUGUGAGGUAUAGUGUACAUAGAUGAAUACAUACUGUCAUAUAUGACACACAUGAUUACACCUUAAUUCUUCCUGCAGGUGAAAAUGUG
RNAcentral lists this long non-coding RNA (2177 nucleotides) under Scophthalmus maximus (turbot). Its description in RNAcentral is "lncRNA (ENSSMAG00000037590.1)". Lineage: Eukaryota; Metazoa; Chordata; Actinopteri; Pleuronectiformes; Scophthalmidae. The record is from RNAcentral.